UCGUGGAGAAGGACGCCGAAGGUGGGGCUGAUGACUGGGGUGAAGUCGUAACAAGGUAGCCGUACCGGAAGGUGCGGCUGGAUCACCUCCUAACAGGGAGACAAUAAAUAGAUUGUGAUGUCUAAGUUAUUUAUUCUUAGGCCACAAUCCUGUCACCUUAAGGUCGAUCGGUACCUCAGAUUUUCGAAUUGGUUUUAUAAUUAAUUCUUUGAUUUCAGUUCCUAAACUUGUCUAGGUCACACCCAACAAAGGUUUCUCCUGGGCCAUUAGCUCAGGUGGUUAGAGCGCACCCCUGAUAAGGGUGAGGUCCCUGGUUCAAGUCCAGGAUGGCCCAUUCGUUGUUGGGGGUAUAGCUCAGUUGGUAGAGCGCCUGCUUUGCAAGCAGGAUGUCAGCGGUUCGAGUCCGCUUACCUCCACUGAAAACUAUCCUGAUAACUAAUUCCGGAGAAAAAAAUUUACGUGACUUAGGAUUGUCUAUUUGAAAGAACCUAGCUUCUUAUCAUCUUUUAGUAGUUGAUAACAUGCUGGGCUCGUAUGGAUUAAAUCCAUGCUAAUUCAGUAGAACCUUGAAAACUGCAUAGAUUAGAAAGAAUAAAGCAUCUCAUGGAUGCAUAAUUCUGUUUUUUUGUUUUUUAGCCUCAAAACUAAAUUACUAAAAUACAGAAUUCAUGUUUAAUUCUUGAGUAAAAGCCGAGCACAAUUGAUUUUGUGAUUGUAUUUAAGGUCAAGCUACAA
This 735-nucleotide unclassified non-coding RNA is filed under the name uncultured Prochlorococcus sp. Its description in RNAcentral is "partial 16S-23S ribosomal RNA intergenic spacer; may also contain 16S ribosomal RNA and 23S ribosomal RNA". The stretch from base 344 to 416 matches the Rfam family "tRNA". Lineage: Bacteria; Bacillati; Cyanobacteriota; Cyanophyceae; Synechococcales; Prochlorococcaceae. The record is from RNAcentral.